CUAAUGUCACAACGGCUUCCUGACGUGGCAUUUCAUUUUUUACUGGAGCA
Sulfitobacter geojensis is the source of this 50-nucleotide non-coding RNA. NCBI's taxonomy places the organism in Bacteria, Pseudomonadati, Pseudomonadota, Alphaproteobacteria, Rhodobacterales, Roseobacteraceae. The record is from Rfam.